AGCUGAGACUCCAGCUCCGUUUACCCCCAAUGUGGAGCAACCACAGCUUGCGGCCCCCCAGCUGCUGACUCCUCAGGGUGGCCCCCAGAUUGUUCCUUCAGUGCAUCAGUACACCUGGUCUCCAAUAGGAGGCAGUCCAGUGAUCAUCCCCCUACAGCCAAACAUCUAUGGAUUUCUGCCUGCUAACCAGCCAGCCGUCCCACAGCAGCCUCUGAUUGCCACUCCUUAUGGAUACGUCCCUGUAUAUUCAUCACCACAUAGCAAUCAACCGUUCUCCCCAUUUGGAUACCCAGCAAUUCCUAAUACAUCUCUGCCACCAACUCCAGCAAAUCAACCUCCAUACAAUCCUGUGUCACCUGCAGGAACACCCCCGGGGGUUGCUCCUUCAGGAGAGGCACCUCAGACAGUGC
Molecule: long non-coding RNA, 410 nt
Organism: Monopterus albus (swamp eel)
Lineage: Eukaryota; Metazoa; Chordata; Actinopteri; Synbranchiformes; Synbranchidae
Exons: 3
Source: RefSeq, a predicted model, not a curated record